This 1834-nucleotide long non-coding RNA is filed under the name Brassica napus (rape). RNAcentral's name for it is "long non-coding RNA (BNAP_LNC001123)". Lineage: Eukaryota; Viridiplantae; Streptophyta; Magnoliopsida; Brassicales; Brassicaceae. The record is from RNAcentral.
GGUAUGAUAAAAAUUUACAGUAGCACACUUUUAAUGGUGUUUGAAGUAAAUUAAUGAGAAAUUGCACUUCAUGUACAAAGAUAACUGCAUAAUUUGCAGAUAUGGAAAAGCCACUUUCUCGCUGAUGUGUCUUUUUAUAAUGGCUGUUGUACCCCUAUGUUGAGCGAAAACACAACCUAUACCAUAUUCAGAACCUCUGUAUCUCUACAUUACACGUGUUUAUUUUUUAUCAAGAGAGAGUUACUUCCUCAUCCACCAAUCGAUACACUCUUUGGUUUUCCUCGAUAAUUUCAUCGCCUAUUGCUACAAAAUUACCUCGUCUUCUCCAUCAUAAUUGAUACACUCUUGAUAUCUCCUCUCUUCUUAUCUUCAAAUUUAUCACCUUCUUUUCUUUUCUAUCGCCGUCACACCAUCAUGUCAACUAACCGUCGCAUCGUCACUCCAUCACACCAUUACCUCUGCUCAAGCUCGCCAUCACACAGUUACCUCACCUCUGCUCAAGCUCACCGUCACGCCGUCACCUCACGUAUGUUACAGCUUCCCGUCACCUCACCCUUGCUACAGCUUGCCUUCAUUUCAGCUAAUGGAGAGGAGGAAGAUCCAUGAUGCUAUAGAGGAGGAAGAAGAACAAGAGGAGAGAGAACAAAUAAAAGGAUGAGAGAGGAUGCCGAAGAAGAAGCGAAGAACAGAGGCUCCCGGAGACACGACGACGGAGACUGGCCAUAGAAGCUGACGGAAGAGUAAACGUCUGUUUACUGAUGACAUCCUGGAUUACUAGUUGCAUGAGUCUCUGUUGAAUCACACACAAAAUAAUCAUUGUUGCGAAUAAUAUAAUAUGUAUGAAUCACAGGUCUUGAAUAUCAUCUUCCUUGUUCAUUACGCGUUUAUGUUUUGAUUUCAUGCAAACAACAAAUGCAAUAUUACAAUUCAAGAUACAAUAUUAGUAAAACAUAAAUAAUUUGGUAUGAGUUAUCCCAAACCAGCUAACAAUAAGCAUAACCAUAUAAAGAAUAUAAAAUAUUUUAAUAGGAAAUCUUAUGUUUAGUCGAAUAUAAUAUAUUAUAUACGGCUAACCAUUUUUUUAACCAUAUAUUGUGAUUUAAUAGAUGGUUAAUUUUAUGUUUAACCGUAAAAGUAAAUUCAGUCAUAUAUUUUGCAGUUUAUUAGAGAGUUAAUUUUAUAUUUAGCCGUACAUGUAAAUCUAUUGCAAUUUGUUUGAGAGUUAAUUUUCUGUUUAGCCGAUCACAAAUUAAUAUUAUGUAUUGUGAUUUGUUAGAGAGUUAAUUUUCUGUUUAGCCGAACAUAUAUUUUUUUUACAUUCACUAGUCCAAACACCAAAUAUAAGACUAUUAAUGUGUUCGUUUUUCGUAGCCGGCUAACUAUAAAAAAAAGACAAAAAAAUAUGUUAACCGGUUAUUUCAUAAAUUACAUCAUUAUUAAAUAGAAAAACAAUUCCAAGAACUGUGAUAACAAUUAAGAAAAAGUACACUACUUCGGUACUUUACCCUUAGCCUGCUCUUGUCUUCUCAACUGAUCCACCAGAGAUGAUACUUGAUGAUGGUAAAGUGGCGGAGGCAGCGGUGGAUGGUGAUGAGACUAGUUCACGCGCCGUCGUACAAAGAGACGAAGAGAAAAAAUUGCUUUUUUAUAUUUCGUAUAUGAUUGGAUAGACGAAACUUUUAAAUCGAAUUGAAAAGAGUUUAUGAUUUACAAAAUUGAGAUUUGGAUUUGCCAAGAAAGAAAAAAGAGACGAUGAUAAUUCUGAAAAAUUACAGAAUAGAAAGAGAAAGAGAAAGAGAGAACGUGAAAGAAGAGACAAAAUAAUGUUUUUAAC